UUGGUUUAAGGGUUACUAGACGGUAAUUUUUGCCUUUGAAUGGGGACAGAGUUACUAGAGUUUUAUGUGAAAAGUAUAUUUAGAACUCAUGGUGUAGAACUGAUAAUUUAAAAUACUAUGGGGAAUGAUAAAGGCGAAGGCAAACUUUUAUGUAAAAACUGACGUUGAGGAACGAAGGCAAGGACAGUGAAUAGGAUUAGAACCCUAGUAACCCUAGCAGAAAAUGAUGAGUGCCAUAGGUUGUCUUAAAUUUAAAUCGCCUAUAAAUGAAAGUGUAAGCAUUCCAC
This 287-nucleotide ribosomal RNA is filed under the name Tuber aestivum (summer truffle). RNAcentral's name for it is "partial 12S ribosomal RNA". It matches the Rfam family "Bacterial small subunit ribosomal RNA", at positions 557 to 872 of the family's 1533-position model. The record is from RNAcentral. Lineage: Eukaryota; Fungi; Ascomycota; Pezizomycetes; Pezizales; Tuberaceae.